GGCAAGAUGGCCGAGCGGUCUAUGGCGUUAGAUUCAAGUAGAUGAUUCUGUUAAGAUGAUAUCUCUUCUUCUCUUCUAAGAGAUUCCUAAUCCCGAAAGGGGCCGGGGUUCGAAUCCCCGUCUUGUCA
This is a non-coding RNA of Hypoxylon sp. CI-4A, 128 nucleotides long. The record is from the annotation of a GenBank genome assembly. NCBI's taxonomy places the organism in Eukaryota, Fungi, Ascomycota, Sordariomycetes, Xylariales, Hypoxylaceae.